UUUAUUUAAUAUUGAUAUUUUAUAUUAAUUAUCUAUUUCAAGUGGUUCAUUUUAAUACACAUUUUUUUCUUGAUUUUAUUUUUAUGUCUUAAAAUUAUUUUUAGCCUUUGAUUUUUGGGAUGAAGGUUGACCACUUUCCCAUGGUCAACCUGACCUUUUCUUGGAAUUUUAUUUCCCAUUUUCAAUUUAUUUUGGGUUUAUUUUUG
This 206-nucleotide long non-coding RNA is filed under the name Lathyrus oleraceus (garden pea). Its description in RNAcentral is "Pisum sativum (pea) long non-coding RNA (PSAT_LNC006159)". Lineage: Eukaryota; Viridiplantae; Streptophyta; Magnoliopsida; Fabales; Fabaceae. The record is from RNAcentral.